AGGAUUAACGCUGGCGGCGUGCCUGACACAUGCAAGUCGAACGAGGCCGCAAGGCCUAGUGGCGGACGGGUGAGUAACACGUGACCAACCAACCUCGAAGUUGGGAAUAGCUCUGCGAAAGCAGGGGUAAUACCGAAUGUGGCCCGGAGCGGACAUCCGCACCGGUCUAAAGAUUUAUCGCUUCGAGACGGGGUCGCGGCCUAUUAGCUUGUUGGUGGGGUAACGGCCUACCAAGGCGAUGAUGGGUAGCUGGUCUGAGAGGACGACCAGCCACACUGGGACUGAGACACGGCCCAGACUCCUACGGGAGGCAGC
RNAcentral lists this ribosomal RNA (315 nucleotides) under uncultured prokaryote. RNAcentral's name for it is "bacterial SSU rRNA". It matches the Rfam family "Bacterial small subunit ribosomal RNA", at positions 26 to 352 of the family's 1533-position model. The record is from RNAcentral.